Molecule: ribosomal RNA, 519 nt
Filed under: uncultured bacterium
Lineage: Bacteria
Description: bacterial SSU rRNA
Rfam family: Bacterial small subunit ribosomal RNA
Source: RNAcentral
AGAGUUUGAUCCUGGCUCAGGACGAACGCUGGCGGCGUGCCUAACACAUGCAAGUCGAGCGGGGAUAUAUGCUGGAGCGCUUCGGUGUGAAGGGAUAUAUCCUAGCGGCGGACGGGUGAGUAACGCGUGGGGAACCUGCCCUUAAGUUCGGGAUACCAACUCGAAAGGGUUGUUAAUACCGGAUGUGCUGCAUUAGCCGCAUGGCGGAUGUAGUAAAGGGGAGACCCGCUUAAGGAUGGCCCUGCGUUCCAUUAGCUAGUUGGUGGGGUAACGGCCUACCAAGGCGACGAUGGAUAGCCGGCCUGAGAGGGCGACCGGCCACACUGGGACUGAGACACGGCCCAGACUCCUACGGGGGGCAGCAGUGGGGAAUCUUGCACAAUGGGCGGAAGCCUGAUGCAGCGACGCCGCGUGAGGGACGAAGGUCUUCGGAUCGUAAACCUCUGUCCAAAGGGACGAAGGAGUGACGGUACCUUUGGAGGAAGCCCCGGCCAACUACGUGCCAGCAGCCGCGGUAAU